This is a non-coding RNA of Chiloscyllium plagiosum (whitespotted bambooshark), 236 nucleotides long. The record is from RefSeq and is a predicted model, not a curated record. NCBI's taxonomy places the organism in Eukaryota, Metazoa, Chordata, Chondrichthyes, Orectolobiformes, Hemiscylliidae.
CUUGAGGCUGCUAUUAGACUGGUCUUCCAAAUCAUGUUAAAGUGGUAACAUGUGUUCCACGCAGUGCUGGAAUCCACACAACUGGCCAGCUCUGAACUCCACAAUCAAUCAUCACUCGCCUCCCUUUGCUAUACAGCUGCAGUGAAGCGGUCCUGAGCGAUGGAAUGUGACAGAUUUGAACAUUACAACAUUAAACAAAGAAUGCAAUGACUCUGAGACACACAGGAAAUGCAAUG